AAUCCAUGGUGCGGGCAUUUUUAAUCAACAUUUUAAACCGUUCUUAUGCCUCAUAGAAACUCUCUCCCUCAAUCUGUCUAAAAACAACAAUCUAUCUUUUUAGUUG
This is a non-coding RNA of Gossypium hirsutum (cotton), 106 nucleotides long. The record is from Rfam. Lineage: Eukaryota; Viridiplantae; Streptophyta; Magnoliopsida; Malvales; Malvaceae.